AGAGAAUCUAGAGAGAGAAAGUGUAGAUUUGAGGUAAGCAAGUUGUUUAAUUUUGUAAUUUUCGUUUAUUUUGGUUCCUAAUGGCAUGUUGAAUAGAAUUAAUGGUAAAAAUUGUGUAAAAGUUGAGUAUAAUUAGCUAUCAACCUGUUUUAGUUAAAAAUCACAAUUAAUUAAAGAUUAAAGUAUUUUCAGUUAAGUAUUUUAUUAAUGGUAAGAUCAGCAUAAAUCUUUGUUUAAUUUGGUUUGAUUGAAAAAUAGAUUAGUAAACAUGUGAUGAAUUGGGUUAUUUGGACACUUGGGAUUUGAUAAUAGGUUAGGCUUUAAGAAAAUCAAAAGAAUUAGUGUUUGGUAAUUAAUUAGGGAAAUUAAUAUGCAUUGUAAAUAUUGUUUAAUUCAAUUCAAAUUUGAUCUGAAAACAUGUAGGAUAUAGAUUAGAGAAUGUGAGAAUUAAAAAAUUUGCAACAAUAAACUAUAUAAAUUUUCAUGGUUAGGAAACCUAAAUUAUGUUGUUUCAUUUCAGUUCCUCGUAAUAGGCAAAGAUCGCCUACUUAGAAGAAACACAAAAAGGAAGUCGGUGUAAGGUAGGGAAUUUUAUGCUAUUCUAUGGUGUAUCUGAUUUCUUUCCUUGAAUUAUUUGUUGGAAUUUUAUGUUGUUUCUAUGAUUUCAUAAAAUCUUUUAAAGUGUCAUUGCAUCUCGGUUUAUUGCAUUGAAAUGUUACCAUGAUGUUGGAACGUAUAUUGGUAUGAACAUUCGUGGUUUUGUGUUUGUCAAAAUGGUUUAUGGUGUGAUUGCAUUACAAGAAGGAUAUGGAAUUAUCACAGAUCAUAUUCAGAGAAUUUAUUGGUGGCGAAGUGCUUAUGUGAUGCUACAGGCCUUAUCAUUUGAUAUAUUGUUUAUGUGGGACCGUGGGUCCUUGGGUGAAAGUCCCUAAAGCCCUCGAGGAAGACACUCCGAUGUGGGUGUAUGGGGUUGGUCCUGCCCCUGGGUUUUAGUCCCUAAAGACACGGGGUUGGUCCUGCCCUUGGGUAUGAGUCCCAAAAGACACGGGGUAUGACUUGCCCUUGGGUGAUGUCCCAGAAUAGUCAUUAUUAUAUUGAUCGAGUAUCUUGUGGAGCAUUGAUAUCUGCUGUGUAGAUUGUUGGGAGUCAGCAAAUUAUCAGUUGUGAAAGGAUGGAUGGGGAAAAGCAAUGAUGAAACCAAGAAACACAUGCAUACAUGUUUGACAUGAUUACACAUUUGUUAAUGGUUACGAAAUGUUUAUCAUGCAUGUUAUUAAACGUUUAAUUCAAGGUUUUUAAGGGUAUACUUAGGAUGGUUAUAAACUUUCCUACUGAGUUGUGAACUCACCCUAUUCCUUUCACCUAUAGAUGCAGGUCAGAAGACCUAUGCAGGAAAGAAUGCUUGAGCAAUGCUUUACUGUGAUUGGAUGCUGUUUGCUCAUAUUGAAAGUCUUUUGAGGCCAUGCCUUUGGUAUCAAGACUACACCUUUUGUUGGAAUGAUGUAAUGUAUAUAUUUGUUAGAUACACUUGUAGUAUGGGCCACCCAUAGUAAACAAUGGGGUUGGGUAUAUGUAAAUUAAUGUUGUACAAGUUUCUUUUGUGAAACAAAACAUAUUUUGUUAACUUAAUAGUCACAAUGUUUAAUACAG
Molecule: long non-coding RNA, 1650 nt
Filed under: Vitis vinifera (wine grape)
Lineage: Eukaryota; Viridiplantae; Streptophyta; Magnoliopsida; Vitales; Vitaceae
Description: long non-coding RNA (VVIN_LNC007285)
Source: RNAcentral